GCCUUCAUGGUGCAAUGGCAGCACACUCGACGUGUAUUCAAGAGGUCCAGGUUCAAGUCCCGGCGAGAGCA
Molecule: transfer RNA, 71 nt
Filed under: Stegodyphus mimosarum
Lineage: Eukaryota; Metazoa; Arthropoda; Arachnida; Araneae; Eresidae
Rfam family: tRNA
About the family: Transfer RNA (tRNA) molecules are approximately 80 nucleotides in length. Their secondary structure includes four short double-helical elements and three loops (D, anti-codon, and T loops). Further hydrogen bonds mediate the characteristic L-shaped molecular structure. tRNAs have two regions of fundamental functional importance: the anti-codon, which is responsible for specific mRNA codon recognition, and the 3' end, to which the tRNAs corresponding amino acid is attached (by aminoacyl-tRNA synthetases). tRNAs cope with the degeneracy of the genetic code in two manners: having more than one tRNA (with a specific anti-codon) for a particular amino acid; and 'wobble' base-pairing, i.e. permitting non-standard base-pairing at the 3rd anti-codon position.
Source: Rfam by way of RNAcentral